UACGUAGGUGGCAAGCGUUGUCCGGAUUUACUGGGCGUAAAGAGCGCGCAGGCGGUCGUUCAAGUCGCGUGUGAAAGCCCCCGGCUCAACUGGGGAGGGUCACGCGAUACUGAUCGACUCGAAGGCAGGAGAGGGUAGUGGAAUUCCCGGUGUAGCGGUGAAAUGCGCAGAUAUCGGGAGGAACACCGGUGGCGAAGGCGGUUCUCUGGGCCUUACCUGACGCUGAGGAGCGAAAGCGUGGGGAGCGAACAGA
This 253-nucleotide ribosomal RNA is filed under the name uncultured bacterium. RNAcentral's name for it is "partial 16S ribosomal RNA". It matches the Rfam family "Bacterial small subunit ribosomal RNA", at positions 524 to 776 of the family's 1533-position model. The record is from RNAcentral.